GAAAUGCGAUAAGUAAUGUGAAUUGCAGAAUUCAGUGAAUCAUCGAAUCUUUGAACGCACAUUGCGCCCGCCAGUAUUCUGGCGGGCAUGCCUGUUCGAGCGUCAUUUCAACCAUCAAGCCCCCGGCUUGUGUUGGGGACCUGCGGCUACCCGCAGGCCCUGAAAAACAGUGGCGGGCUCGCUGUCACACCGAGCGUAGUAGCAUACAUUCUCGCUCAGGGCGUGCUGCGGGUUCCGGCCGUUAAACGACCUUCAUAACCCAAGGCUGACCUCGGAUCAGGUAGGAAGACCCGCUGAACUUAAGC
Molecule: unclassified non-coding RNA, 305 nt
Filed under: plant metagenome
Description: partial contains 5.8S ribosomal RNA, internal transcribed spacer 2, and large subunit ribosomal RNA
Rfam family: 5.8S ribosomal RNA (bases 1-105)
Source: RNAcentral